CGUUGGUGAACCAGCGGAGGGAUCAUUACUGAGUACUACACUCUCUACCCUUUGUGAACUAUUAUACCUGUUGCUUCGGCGGCGCCCGCAAGGGUGCCCGCCGGUCUCAUCAGAAUCUCUGUUUUCGAACCCGACGAUACUUCUGAGUGUUCUUAGCGAACUGUCAAAACUUUUAACAACGGAUCUCUUGGCUCCAGCAUCGAUGAAGAACGCAGCGAAACGCGAUAUGUAAUGUGAAUUGCAGAAUUCAGUGAAUCAUCGAAUCUUUGAACGCACAUGGCGCCUUCCAGUAUCCUGGGAGGCAUGCCUGUCCGAGCGUCGUUUCAACCCUCGAGCCCCUGUGGCCCGGCGUUGGGGAUCUGCCACGGCAGGCCCCUAAAACCAGUGGCGGACCCGAAGGCCCUCUCCUUUGCGCAGUAGCAUCAGCCUCGCAUUGGGAUCCCUCGGCGUCCUGCCUCUAAACCCCCCACAAGUCCGCUCCGGCGGCACC
Molecule: unclassified non-coding RNA, 490 nt
Filed under: Plectosphaerella cucumerina
Lineage: Eukaryota; Fungi; Ascomycota; Sordariomycetes; Glomerellales; Plectosphaerellaceae
Description: sequence contains 18S rRNA gene, ITS1, 5.8S rRNA gene, ITS2
Rfam family: 5.8S ribosomal RNA (bases 168-321)
Source: RNAcentral